CAGUCGCCACGGUAAUACGGAGGGUGCAAGCGUUAAUCGGAAUUACUGGGCGUAAAGCGCACGCAGGCGGUCUGACAAGUCAGAUGUGAAAUCCCCGGGCUUAACCUGGGAACUGCAUUUGAAACUGUCAGGCUGGAGUCUUGUAGAGGGGGGUGGAAUUCCAGGUGUAGCGGUGAAAUGCGUAGAGAUCUGGAGGAAUACCGGUGGCGAAGGCGGCCCCCUGGACAAAGACUGACGCUCAGGUGCGAAAGCGUGGGGAGCAAACAGGAUUAGAUACCCGGGUAGUCCCUGUCUCUUAUAA
This 301-nucleotide ribosomal RNA is filed under the name uncultured bacterium. Its description in RNAcentral is "partial 16S ribosomal RNA". It matches the Rfam family "Bacterial small subunit ribosomal RNA", at positions 509 to 809 of the family's 1533-position model. The record is from RNAcentral.